This 242-nucleotide ribosomal RNA is filed under the name Pseudo-nitzschia fraudulenta. RNAcentral's name for it is "partial Bacterial large subunit ribosomal RNA". It matches the Rfam family "Bacterial large subunit ribosomal RNA", at positions 1120 to 1363 of the family's 2925-position model. The record is from RNAcentral. Lineage: Eukaryota; Bacillariophyta; Bacillariophyceae; Bacillariales; Bacillariaceae.
CAUUUAAAGAGUGCGUAACAGCUCACUAGUCGAGCGAUCGUGCGUGGAUAAUAAUCGGGCAUUAAACAUAUUACCGAAGCUGUGGAUUUUAUAUUUAUAUAAUCUGGUAGGGGAGCAUUCUAUAGGCGUUGAAUGUGUGGCGUAAGCCAUGCUGGAGCGUAUAGAAAAGCAAAUGUAGGAAUAAGUAACGAUAAAGCAGGCGAGAAACCUGCUCACCGAUAGACUAAGGUUUCCUGAGCGAC